GCAGCGUCCGUCUGGUUCACCUACUCUGAGCCAGGCCUAGAGCAAGUGAAUAAGCCCAGCAGGAAUGGGGUGAGAUCAGGCUUCCUGAGCCCUCAGAGCUGAAGUCCCGGCUCUGUAAGUCCUGCCACUCACUCCACCCAUGGGUGCCGCUGAGCCACCCUUACCAAGCUCCUGGCAGGCUCAGCGCCUCCAGGCUGGGUGCCUGGGAAUUCAAAGUAGCUCACGUAGGAGCAGAACAGAUACUUAGAGAGAUAAAAUCGCCUGAGAUAAUGGCUGGCUGGAGUCUGAUGCUCUGGGCACACAAACAAAGGGAUGUUAGGACUGCCCAGGGCACUGUGGGCGCAAGAGUUAGUCUGAAGUAUAAGGUUCCAGGCAGCCCAGCCAGUCCCUCCCUCCUCAAUGGGUCUGUCCUGGAUGUGUAGGGUCCAUCUCUGAAUAUAAAGCCACCUCUCUGCCCUCUGGGGGCUUACAUUCCAGUCAGGGGGACAAACAAGAAAACAAUAAGAAAAUAGGUGUAUAACAUAAGGUCAGCGGUGACACGCUGUGAAGAGAAAGACAGCAGGGUGAGGGAUGGAUAGAAAGCAGCUGGAUUAAGACAUUUGGCCGGGGGUGGUGGCUCACGCCUGUAAUCCCAGCACUUUGGGAGGCCAAGGCGGGCAGGUCACUUGAGGUCAGGAGUUCGAGAUCAGCCUGGCCAACAUGGUGAAACCCCCUGUCUACCAAAAAUACAAAAAUUAGCCAGGUGUGGUGGUGUAUGCCUGUAACCUGUAAUCCCAGCUACUCGGGAGGCUGAGGCAGUAGAAUUGCUUGAACCCGAGAGGCAGAGGUUGCAGUGAGCCAAGAUUGCACUAUUGCACUCCAGCCUGGGUGACAGAGCAAUAUCUCCAAAGAAAAAAGACAUUUGGCCGGGUGCGAUGGCUCACACCUGUAAUCCCAGCACUUUGGGAGGCCAAAGUGGGCAGAUCACCUGAGGUCAGGAGUUCGAAACCAGCCUGGCCAACAUGGUGAAACCCUGUCUCUACUAAAAAUAUAAAAUUAGCUCGGCAUGGUGGUGCAUGUUCAUAAUCCCAGCUACUCGGGAGGCUGAGGCAGGAGAAUUGCUUGAACCUGGGAGGUGGAGGUUGCAGUGAGCCGAGAUCACGCCAUUUGCACUCCAGCCUG
RNAcentral lists this long non-coding RNA (1161 nucleotides) under Homo sapiens (human). RNAcentral describes it as "non-protein coding lnc-LINC00672-1:1". The record is from RNAcentral. Lineage: Eukaryota; Metazoa; Chordata; Mammalia; Primates; Hominidae.